AUCUGAGUUUGAGAAGACUGUAUACUUGCACUUGUUGGAUGAAGUAGUCUAUACAUGUCAACAGGUUCAGCUGAUUGAUGAUGCCCUUCAGCUCAGCUAUGUCCUGAGUCCAUCAAUUACUAUUAGAUAGGUGUUGAGGUAUCCACUAUAACAGUGGAGCUGCCUGUUUUUUCUUGCAAUUCUCUCCUUUGAUGGAUUCCAUAUUUUGAGGCUCUGUUGUUAGGUCCCUACAUGUUAAAGACUGCUAUGUCUUUCUAGAGAAUUGACCCCUAGUCAUUAUGAAAUGCCCCUCUUACUCCUGGAAGUUGCGCUUGGCCACUUCAGACUCGGCCUCUGAAGCCUCCUCAUGCCGGCGUGAAGGAGUUAUCCAGCCUCUGCUGUUAUCCACAGAGCAGCAGCCAGGGACUAGUGAUGAAGUAUUAAGUGUCUGGUCAGAGCUCUGGGCCUUAUCUGUCUCCAUGUCGACUCCCGCGAUCAUUUUCGCCUUCGCUUAGUUUGUUGUCAAAUCCACCUCGAUGAAACCGUUUGCUUUUUCCUGCAAAUGCUUCCCAUUUUAGCAACCGCUGCUUGCAGUUUGGCCAGAGUCUAAGCUCUUCCCGGGCAAUUUGCAUAUGGUUUUUUCGUAGUGCAAAAGUCUCUCCUGGGGCUUCCACGCCUCCCGCAGCUCGGCCCAGCUCCGCCUGAGUCCCGGGAUCUGGGGCUGAGCCCCCGCCGCGAAAACCUCCGGAGCGCAGGAGAUGAGCGGUGGACGCUCGGGCCCGGAGCCCCUCGGCGCCCCGAGCUCGCGCCCCAGCCGCGGACGUUAAGGGUUUUGAUCCGUUACCCAGCAGCUGUCGAAAGAGGAGCACGACUGAACUUCCACCGACAAUCGUUUAAAUACUGCAGGCGAAGGAUGGGUUCUUAUUGUUCCUUCCGGCAAACCGGCAGCCUAGUCCAGCCUAUGAACUUGAACUUGCUGAAGGAGCUUCCGGCGGCCCCCUGCUGGCCACCGUCUUUGCCAGAGGGAGAGGCUGGAGUCACCCUGUUGGGCCCCAUUUCUGGGGCUGGCACCUGUUGGCCUCCCCGGCCGCGCCUACCUGGUCCCAUCCGGGGCUCUGCCCACUCCGCUGAUGAAGCGGGUAGAAGGGAGGCCGCAGGGACACUCUGAGGGAGCUGUGCCGGGCGGGCACCCCCCUGCUGCUCACCCUGGGGUGCGGCACCGAGGCCUGGUUGGGCUGCAAGGAGACCAACUGGGAUUCCCGGGCUGGUGACCGGGGAGACGGGGUAGAGGUGAGAAGCAAGAGUCCAGGAGGCCUCAGGCCCCAGCGCUGUUGGGGCUGCCGUUGUCGUUCUGGGUGGAGGUCUGGCCAAACUGGCUUUCGCCCCGAGUGAGGAAUUCCUGCUCUUUUUGGUGUUGGUGGAGAGGUCGCUGUUCACAGCGGGGACGGGGUUCGUCCCCUCUAUGCUAGUAGGGAGCUGCCUGGCGCAUUUCUGUGUUGCUGCCCUUCCGCGCUGUCUCCUGAUCCUGUUCAGGCUCUGGGUGGCUCCUCUGAGUCUUCUUAGGCGGUGAAAGAUGGGAAAGGCAGGUUGCUGAAACCACUGCUGCUCCGGGCUGGCAGAUGAGCUGUUCCUCCUGGGAUGAAAGAGAACCCAGGAGCAGGCAAGUGACCACGGUGUCCUCAUAUGCCUCGGCAAGUCCUGGAUCUCUUCCUGUCUGUAACCCAUGGAUACCAUGAACUUAGUUUGCAGGGGGUCCUCCCAGUGGGAGAGUGGCUGCAUGCAGCCCUUAAGUUCCUCACCUUCAUGACCCACAUUCAUCCAUGGAUCCCUCACACUGUGCUCUGAACAGGGCCUCUCUUGCUGCAAUUGACAAUGAGAAAUUUCUUCAGCAAGUUUUCACUCUCCAGGGACAUGGAGGAGGGAAUGGAAUACAUCCCGCUCAGUACCUGCUCUCAUAGCUCCUUGACGUUCUGUCCAUCGAAAAAUAAGGAUCCACUUCCCAGUAUAUAUAGGAUAACUCCUAGACUCCAUGCAUCCACCAGCUCAUAUCUGUGGCUCUAGAAGAAUUAUAGGGCAGCCUAAGGGGACUGCCACAAAAGGUACCCAGCUUGCUGUGAAAGGUGAAUUUAUUCCUGAACCCAACCUCUGAUGUUCAUGUUCACAUGGACAAUACACUUCUGGUGACAGCUUGCACAGCAGACACUUUUGGUGGAAUUUGCUUCAGGCCUCUUGCUUGCUCUGAGUAGGUAUUCACAAACUUCUCGCUAGCGUGCUUCGUGAUGAGACAGAGAUUCCUCAUUAUCGAUCACAGCAAAUCCUUCACUAUAUUGGGGUGAUCAGAGCCUUAAUGAUUCCUACUUUGUGGAUGGUGUCUAGAGGCUGGAGGAGAUCUGCUGAGUCUAAUCAAUAAACUUCACAGCUGCUGCUUUCCCA
RNAcentral lists this long non-coding RNA (2412 nucleotides) under Piliocolobus tephrosceles (Ugandan red Colobus). RNAcentral describes it as "lncRNA (ENSPTEG00000036106.1)". The record is from RNAcentral. Lineage: Eukaryota; Metazoa; Chordata; Mammalia; Primates; Cercopithecidae.